UAGAGGCAGGUCAGUUCUCUUUCUUAAGCAGCUGAAUCCAGGUCCCAAUCAAUUCCCCUAUCUGGCUCUUACCCUCUGGGCCACCACACACCCACCCUAAUACUCCCAGGUUCAGUUACCAGACUCUCAGGGACAGCCCCUGUGCUCUAGAACCUGCUCACCUCACCCAUUCCUUUCCCUGGAAACCACAACAAAUGUGCCUGCCAGUGGUUUCCUUCUCUUUGCCUCCUGACUGACCCCAGCGCUUCCCCCAGAGUGUCAUGGCCGUCUUCUUCUCAGGCAACUAUGAGGAGACUGAGGCAUAAAUAGAUAAAACAACUUGCCUAAGGUCCUAGGCAAAGUGAGGAUUGUUAAUGGCAAAGCUAGUAUUUGAGCAGAGACAUCAGGCUCCAGAUCCAGCACACCAAACCAUUGGUGAAGAUGCUCUACUUAAAAUGUGGUUGUACCAGUGACCAUUCCAUCCUUUGUUCAUGCAACAAGAACAGCACAGGGCAAAGGUAAAAUCAAUGGCCUUGAACACAAAAGAACAUUAAAAUAAGCCAAAGCAGAGGCAUUUUCUUUAGCUGUCCUUGGUUAUAGUUUCACCAAUUGCCCAUGAAGAUGAACACUGUUCAGGCUGCCAUGUCUCUGUGUCACAUUCACAUGUGAGUCUGAGAGAUCAGAAGAGUUCUACUCCAAGAUUUCAAAACUUUUGGUGGAUCCAAAACAAGAAAAAUGACUAUUUUAAAAUAUACCAAUUUUGUCUAGUUCUGCUAACAAGAGAAACAAUUCACUUGUGGGGAGGUGUAAUUCUUCUCUUACUUGAGGAUCCAGGUUAUGUGGUUACCCAGAGGUAAGGUCUAGAGCCUGGACUAGAAGAGAGAGGCCUGAUUAAUGCUGCAUAAAACAUAACAUGUUGCCUUUACUUGGGAGAGGGUAAGCCAUUAAUUACCUUUCUUCAGUGGGACCUAGAGAAAGGAGAUUUUGUUUUUCUACUUUCUUUUUCCUUUUUUUUAAAAUUUAUUUUUUUAUCAUUUUUUUCUUUUUUCUCACUUUAUAUCCAAAGGUGAAAGAAGAUAUAAAAGCAGAGACUAAAGAGAAUUAGAUGGAUAAUAUGCUACAAGGGCCUUAGCAGAAAAACAAGUCCUUAGGAAGUCCCUGUGAGGAUAGAUUUUUUUGUCUAAUGAACUCUAGUAGCAAUUCAGCCCAGUACUGUGGCUUGAGUUAAUUUUUUUUUUUCAUUCUUUCUCCAUUAGUAAAUGCAUCUGUUGCUGCCAAGACUUCAGUAAAAUUUAUAAGACACUAGAAGUUUGUAUCAGUAGUGCUACCUUAGUGGCAAAUAUUUAUGGAGAGACUUCAGCAGCAUGGAGAGGACUUGAGUCAGUAGGAGACCUAGAACCUUGUAGGGUUUCCACCAGCAUAGACGCGUGCACAUUCGUUGAGUCUGGGAGGCUUAUACCCAGAGAGGAAACUGAACAUCCUGAAUUCACAGCAUGGAGUUAAGGCAAAGGGUAUUCUCAGCAGGUGGGGCAAUUUAGAGAAACUCAGUUUACAUAUGUAAAAGUGCUUCAAAGUCUUCAUUACAGGAGUGUUUUAAAGAUUGUCAGUCCUUUAAGAGUAGAUUUAAGGGCUCCAAGCAAUGUAUCCACAUGGUCAUACACUUGGGUAAAACUUGUAUGAGAUUUUAACUAGGUUUGGCUAAGGCCCCUGUCCUCCCACUUUGAUUUCACACCCCCAUUCUACUCACUGUCUUGUACAGUAAAAUGGGAGCAGGAUGGAAUCUUUAGGAUAUUGUUAAGAGAAACUUCGGAAUAUUACUGCAUCAUGAAAAUGCAUUAUGAAAAACAUUAUGAAAUGUUUUAACAAAACAAUAAAUUAGAAACAUUUUAAAGAUAUUGUAGCAGAUGCUGUGGGACCCCAUCCAUGUAUGCCCGGGUCUUCAUAUUGUAGUGCCUAAAGCUGAUGUCCAACUGCCAUUAUUUGCUUUUUUUCCCCUGGGAUCUUUUAUUGGUAGCCAAAGAAUAUCAAUAUUAGUCUGGGGUAACUAAUCUCAAAAUGACUGAGGAUGCUGACAUAUCAGUCCUUCAGCUCCCACACCUUAAUCACUCAGAUUGGAUACAUCUGAAGCACCU
Long non-coding RNA from Neofelis nebulosa (Clouded leopard), 2111 nucleotides. RefSeq lists it as uncharacterized. The record is from RefSeq and is a predicted model, not a curated record. NCBI's taxonomy places the organism in Eukaryota, Metazoa, Chordata, Mammalia, Carnivora, Felidae. The transcript has 3 exons.